GACGGAGGAGGCUAGCGUUGUUCGGAAUUACUGGGCGUAAAGCGCACGCAGGUGGCAGGACAAGUCGGGUGUGAAAGCCCGGGGCUCAACCCCGGAUGUGCGCUCGGGACUGUCUUGCUAGAGACCGGAAGAGGAGAGCGGAAUUCCCAGUGUAGAGGUGAAAUUCGUAGAUAUUGGGAAGAACACCAGUGGCGAAGGCGGCUCUCUGGUCCGGUUCUGACACUCAAGUGCGAAAGCGUGGGGAGCAAACAGG
RNAcentral lists this ribosomal RNA (253 nucleotides) under uncultured bacterium. Its description in RNAcentral is "partial 16S ribosomal RNA". It matches the Rfam family "Bacterial small subunit ribosomal RNA", at positions 524 to 776 of the family's 1533-position model. The record is from RNAcentral.